UAGUGACGCGCAUGAAUGGAUUAA
Molecule: non-coding RNA, 24 nt
Filed under: Arabidopsis thaliana (thale cress)
Lineage: Eukaryota; Viridiplantae; Streptophyta; Magnoliopsida; Brassicales; Brassicaceae
Also listed under: 7 other names
Source: RNAcentral